This 217-nucleotide ribosomal RNA is filed under the name uncultured bacterium. RNAcentral's name for it is "partial 16S ribosomal RNA". It matches the Rfam family "Bacterial small subunit ribosomal RNA", at positions 122 to 334 of the family's 1533-position model. The record is from RNAcentral.
UAACCUGCCUGGUAGCGGGGGAUAACUAUUGGAAACGAUAGCUAAUACCGCAUAACAGUAGAUGUUGCAUGACAUUUGCUUGAAAGGGGCAAUUGCUCCACUACCAGAUGGACCUGCGUUGUAUUAGCUAGUUGGUGAGGUAACGGCUCACCAAGGCGACGAUCCCUAGCUGGUCUGAGAGGAUGACCAGCCACACUGGAACUGAGACACGGUCCAG